This 173-nucleotide ribosomal RNA is filed under the name Paenibacillus barcinonensis. RNAcentral's name for it is "partial 16S ribosomal RNA". It matches the Rfam family "Bacterial small subunit ribosomal RNA", at positions 1 to 164 of the family's 1533-position model. The record is from RNAcentral. Lineage: Bacteria; Bacillati; Bacillota; Bacilli; Caryophanales; Paenibacillaceae.
CUUUAUUGGAGAGUUUGAUCCUGGCUCAGGACGAACGCUGGCGGCAUGCCUAAUACAUGCAAGUCGAGCGGACUUGAAGAGAAGCUUGCUUCUCUGAUGGUUAGCGGCGGACGGGUGAGUAACACGUAGGCAACCUGCCCUCAAGCUUGGGACAACUACCGGAAACGGUAGCU